UAGCCAGUGUUCUAGAAGGGAUUAUCACCAACGAGUGGAAAAUUGUCACUGUGAAAUAAUUGCAGAAAAGAAAAUGUAGGUAAAAAGACCACACUGAGACUCUUCAGGUCUACGUCCCUCUCAAAGGCCCGGAUGAGAGUUCGUGUAAGUAGAGAAAAGUCCUUUAGUGAAACAUUCAAAAUAACAAACAUCAAUUAGACUGUGUGCUCAUAGGGUGUCUUUCAUCUUCAGGCCUGAGAGUGCUCGACAAACACUCAUUAAUCCUGCCAAAUGCUGCUGCCAGCCUCUUGGCAGAGAAGAUGAAGGUCCAAAGCGCCCGGCAGGAGUGGACUUGGAUCAGCUGCUGACGCAGGAGCUCCCCGGGGCUGAUGAGCCGGAGAAGGAUCAUGGGGCGGUCAGUCAGAGCCCCGGGGGGACAGAAAGAACCGUAUUUCCUUAUUCUGAGGAUGGGCGCCAGGAGCACCCUCCUCCCACACCGAAAGGCUGGAAGCUGUCCAGGAUUCCUCCCUGUUCACCUCUAAUUGGUCAUAAAAUUCUGUCCAUGUUACCCGAAGAGCUAUUCUGGUGGCAUGAGCUCAAACCAUCGUUUUUUCUAACCUGGAUUUUUGCACCGAUGCCCUAACAAGCCUUGCCGACCCUCGUCUCGGUCUCGGGCUGCUUCAGUGAUCUCCAAAUUGCCGCCACAGUGAGCCUCCCGCGCGCGCCGGCGCGAAUGUGACCGGAUCCCUUCUCUGUUGGGAGCUCCAGCUGGGGACAAUGUUCAGGCUUCAGGGACCCUAGGCCAAGGCUGUCGUGCGGCCUGGGGCAGCUCUUGGCCCCAAGGCUCCCAGCUGCGCCUGGGACCAGCGGUGCGGCCUUUUGUGCUUUCUCUCCCUGUCUGUGCCCCAGCUGACCUCUCCGGCUGACUUUCCCCAAAAUGAAUGCAAAUGUCAUGCACUGCAAAUGUGUAUUAAUAAAAUAAAAAUUCAAAAAAGGGAAGCCUUCCCCCA
This 989-nucleotide long non-coding RNA is filed under the name Fukomys damarensis (Damara mole-rat). RNAcentral's name for it is "lncRNA (ENSFDAG00000024974.1)". The record is from RNAcentral. Lineage: Eukaryota; Metazoa; Chordata; Mammalia; Rodentia; Bathyergidae.